UGUGUGUGUGUGUGUGUGUUAUGCUGUAAAUGCUUCAUGUGUUGUAUAUUUGUACCGUUCACAAGGUUUACAAGAAACAAGACGGUUACACCACCAUCUGUGGAUGAACUUCAGUGUUAUGACAAACAUGACAAAUGGCUUUUUGUCUUCAACUUUAAAUUUAUAGAUGGUGGAACUCUAGAUGCUGCUGCUGGCUUAUUUCGCAAAUGACAUGGCUAUUAGCCAAGUAUUGAGUAUUUGCUAUCUAUUCAACAGGCAACAGACCACACAAACACUGAAAAUUUGGUCUUUACCACAGCAUCAAUGCUUAACAUUCAUAGUGUCAGUUCUGUCCAGCAAGUAUGAAGUAUGAAGUACAGCAAGUAUGACGUACCUAGUGACAUGACAGAGUGACUGUUGAAAGUUUAGAGUAUAGCCAGUUUAGUCAUUGCAAUAUCGAACCGGGGCCUUAGGGGCUCUUGUAUGUAUGUAUGUACAAACAAAAAAAUGUAUGUAUGUAUGUAUGUAU
Long non-coding RNA from Corticium candelabrum, 508 nucleotides. RefSeq lists it as uncharacterized. The transcript is spliced from 3 exons. NCBI's taxonomy places the organism in Eukaryota, Metazoa, Porifera, Homoscleromorpha, Homosclerophorida, Plakinidae. The record is from RefSeq and is a predicted model, not a curated record.